CUUCACCGAACCCACCCACAGCGGGCGGUCGCGGUCGCGGCCGUAGGUGGACAGCAGCGCCUGCGCCUC
Molecule: antisense RNA, 69 nt
Filed under: Nocardia nova SH22a
Lineage: Bacteria; Bacillati; Actinomycetota; Actinomycetes; Mycobacteriales; Nocardiaceae
Description: ASpks TB sRNA
Rfam family: ASpks TB sRNA
Source: Rfam by way of RNAcentral